GACGUAGGGGGCAAGCGUUGUCCGGAUUUACUGGGCGUAAAGAGCGUGUAGGCGGUUGGGCAAGUCUGCUGUGAAAUCUCCAGGCUCAACUUGGAGGGGUCAGUGGAAACUGCCAAACUUGAGGACGGUAGAGGGGGGUGGAAUUCCCGGUGUAGUGGUGAAAUGCGUAGAGAUCGGGAGGAACACCAGCGGCGAAGGCGGCCCCCUGGGCCGCUCCUGACGCUGAGACGCGAAGGCCAGGGUAGCGAACGGG
Molecule: ribosomal RNA, 253 nt
Filed under: uncultured bacterium
Lineage: Bacteria
Description: partial 16S ribosomal RNA
Rfam family: Bacterial small subunit ribosomal RNA
Source: RNAcentral